CGUUACUCGGCUCACAGGACUUGCCCGUAAAUGAACUCAUUUUUCAUCCUGUCUCUCUCCCUCCUCCCUCUCCUGUUAAUGACUGGCACUUUCCUCGUACGGAGCGCCGGCCCUCUGAAGAGCCUGGCGAGUGACAGAGCACCAUUCAUCUCCUCAUGGCGGAGGACAGUAGGGGGGGCCCGCUGAGCCACGAUGAGACACAGAAUAUUCUACCAGGAGUUGGUGGGCCGUGUCAGAGGGAAAGAGUAAACCCCAGGAGCAUGAGGGGACAGGAAAGCGGUAUCAAUCACACAACCUUGUGCACGGCUGUAGCAGCAGUUUCAAUUAUGCAUCUGUUCCUCAGUGGCUGACAUUUUGUUCAACCUCUUACCCCCACCGAGGCAGAGAGGAAGUGCCCUGCCUGUUAUCUUCCCCCAAGUGCUUAAUUUAACUGUUAAAGCAUACCUGUCGCCAUUUACCUUAACUUUACAGUAUAUACUAUCUGCACAGACGGAACGUGAGCUUAAUCAUUGUCUGCAAAAGCUCAAUCACAGUUGCAGCCUAUGGCUACAACCAGCACUUGGCAGCAACUCAUGAUUUUCAC
Gasterosteus aculeatus aculeatus (three-spined stickleback) is the source of this 583-nucleotide long non-coding RNA. NCBI's taxonomy places the organism in Eukaryota, Metazoa, Chordata, Actinopteri, Perciformes, Gasterosteidae. The record is from Ensembl.